GCGGGCGUGGCGGAAUUGGCAGACGCGCUGGAUUUAGGUUCCAGUGUUUCGACGUAAGAGUUCGAGUCUCUUCGUCCGCACCA
Molecule: transfer RNA, 83 nt
Filed under: Clostridiales bacterium
Lineage: Bacteria; Bacillati; Bacillota; Clostridia; Eubacteriales
Description: tRNA-Leu
Rfam family: tRNA
About the family: Transfer RNA (tRNA) molecules are approximately 80 nucleotides in length. Their secondary structure includes four short double-helical elements and three loops (D, anti-codon, and T loops).
Source: RNAcentral